AGUGGAGGGCCUGGCUCUGAACU
RNAcentral lists this non-coding RNA (23 nucleotides) under Cricetulus griseus (Chinese hamster). Lineage: Eukaryota; Metazoa; Chordata; Mammalia; Rodentia; Cricetidae. The record is from RNAcentral.